UGGACCUCAGAUCAGGCAAGAUCACCCGCUGAGUUUAAGCAUAUCACUAAGCGGAGGAAAAGAAACUAACGAGGAUUUCCUUA
Molecule: ribosomal RNA, 83 nt
Filed under: Frullania sp. A BlS-2016
Lineage: Eukaryota; Viridiplantae; Streptophyta; Jungermanniopsida; Porellales; Frullaniaceae
Description: partial 26S ribosomal RNA
Rfam family: Eukaryotic large subunit ribosomal RNA
Source: RNAcentral